Mus musculus (house mouse) is the source of this 1454-nucleotide long non-coding RNA. RefSeq annotates it as predicted gene, 52125. The transcript is spliced from 3 exons. NCBI's taxonomy places the organism in Eukaryota, Metazoa, Chordata, Mammalia, Rodentia, Muridae. The record is from RefSeq and is a predicted model, not a curated record.
CCCACAUACACAUAAUUUAAAAUUAGAAAAGAAAUCUUGGGGGGUAUCAAUACCCAUCACCCACCUACACUAGGACAGACACCAUUUUUGCUCCCUGGAUGCAGGGCCAUUUGUCAGUCCCACACCUAGCUGCACCAGAAGUGCCUACACCUAACCUAGCGCACAGCAGGUGACCAGUUAACAGUGGCGGCAGAGAGUGCAAUGAUACUGAGGGAGAGUAGGGAGCUAUCUCAGGCCAGGGCUGGAAGGCUGGCUUCUGGAGGCAGCAGAACCUAGAGGCUGCUGGGAGGACCAGCACCAUGGACUUCCAUUGAGUCUAUUGAUCUCGCCCAUCUGGAGCACUGCCCCAGGCUAGGGCUAAUUCAGUGGCUUCAAUGGAGGGAGGGCUGUGCCUGCCAGAGUGCCCAGCGACUUCUGAGCCUGGGGCCAGCUCACUGCUUCCACCUCCACAACCCAUCCCUCACUCCUGAAGCACCCCCUUUCUCUGUCCAAGACCUCUCAGGAAGUGGGGGAGCCUGGCCAGGGCUCUGCUCUACCUUCUAUCCAGCUUCGGUCCAGCCUCCUGCUUCAGAACGCUCCAGAUUAAGCUCAGCAUAGGAAGACAAGAGCUCAGCCUUCCUCGGUGUGUGUCCAUAAUCUGUCAGUGUCCCCUUCAGCUCUGUCCCUGAAAGGACCACUCUGGGCCAUCCAAAUCUCAGGAUUCUUUAUAGAAAUGGCACAGCGGCUGGGAAGAUGGCACAGCGGGUUGGAUCACAGGUGUGAAUGACCAAUCCAGGCACAUGUAUGUACAGGUAGGCCAGGACUUUCCCAGAGUAGUUCUCUUUCCACCUUGUUUUGGAGGUAGGGUCUCAGUACUCUUGCCCUUGUGCUAUGGAUAAAGCAUCCAUCUGAUUCCCGUUUCCAACUCCAAUCUCACUGUGGGACUGCUGGGGCUCUGGGCACCUCAUGUGGCUUUUUAAGUGUACGCUGGGGACCAAACUGCAGUCAGGGCCACUUGGCAAAUGUUACCCAUGAGUCAUCUUUCCAGGUCACAGGUUUUAAACAGGGUGCUCAUGUCUCUGCUUCCAAACUCCUUACGUUGGGAAAGUUCUGAUUCACCCAGCUGGAGCUGUGAGGCCCGUCUAGUGAUGUCAGAACAAUCAAACCCCACUAGCCAUCUUCUCAUCCCGGCACAUUGGCUGUGGACUAGCCAGGAACUGUGCUGCCUGGAUUCAAAGCCAACGUCUCCAUUUUUACUGUCUGCACAACUUGGUGCCUCAGACACCUGUCUGCCUCCUGCUCCCUUUGCUUCUAGGGCAGGACUGCUGUAAGGUUGCUUUGGGGCAGAAUAUUGUCACGGCGCCAGAGUAAGUCAGAAGACCAUCUCCUUUGCCCCGCUCCUAGAUGUUCUUGCUUAUGUUUUUCUCCUAAAUCUCCACUUCAGCUCUAUACUGAUCCUUCUGACCUACAGACAU